RNAcentral lists this transfer RNA (82 nucleotides) under Candidatus Bathyarchaeota archaeon. RNAcentral describes it as "tRNA-Gly". It matches the Rfam family "tRNA". Rfam says of the family: Transfer RNA (tRNA) molecules are approximately 80 nucleotides in length. RNAcentral also lists the same sequence under 1 other name. The record is from RNAcentral. Lineage: Archaea; Thermoproteati; Candidatus Bathyarchaeota.
GCGGCGGUGGCGGAGCGGAAACGCGACUGCCUUCCAAACAGUUGUCCCAAGGGAUUCGCGGGUUCGAAUCCCGUCCGCCGCA